Non-coding RNA from Elaeis guineensis (African oil palm), 2996 nucleotides. The record is from RefSeq and is a predicted model, not a curated record. NCBI's taxonomy places the organism in Eukaryota, Viridiplantae, Streptophyta, Magnoliopsida, Arecales, Arecaceae.
ACCCGGUUGGGGUGCAGUCUGCGACCGCGGCUCGGCAAUCGCACCCUCCCUCCUAUUUUCGGGUGCAACAGGAGCGAACCAGCAGCAUCCGCUUUGGGAAUUCCCAUGGAGAGCGAUAUCGUGGAGGAACUUCUCUGCGUUGAGGCCGAGCUCCAAGACGUCCAAGACCAAAUUAAGAUAUUACUUGACCACCAAGAAAGGUUGUACAGGAAACAAUCUGAGCUCAAGGCCUUGUUGGAAGAAUGUAAAACAUCUGAAAAUGAAGCAAAUAACAAUGCUUCCAUGGCAGCAGAAAAUUGGUCAGGGAAUUUUGAAUGGGAUUCUCAGGCUGAUGAUAUUAGAUUCAAUGUUUUUGGUAUUUCCUCUUAUCGAGCAAAUCAACGCGAAAUUAUAAAUGCCGUCAUGAGAGGAAGGGAUGUUUUGGUUAUAAUGGCUGCAGGCAGUGGUAAGAGCCUCUGUUAUCAACUGCCAGCUGUACUUUGCAAUGGUGUUGCCCUGGUUGUCAGUCCUUUGCUUUCUCUAAUUCAGGAUCAGGUUAUGGGACUGACAGCAUUGGGAAUUCCAGCUUACAUGUUAACUUCAACCACUAGUAAAGAAGAUGAAAAAUUUAUCUACAAAGCCCUUGAUAAAGGUGAAGGAGAAAUGAAGAUAUUAUAUGUUACACCUGAAAAGAUUUCGAAGAGCAAGAGAUUUAUGUCUAAGCUUGAAAAGUGCCAUAAUGGUGGGCGCCUUUCUCUUGUAGCAAUUGAUGAGGCACACUGCUGUAGUCAAUGGGGUCAUGAUUUUCGUCCAGAUUAUAAGAAUCUGGGUAUCUUGAAGGUUCAGUUUCCUAAUGUUCCCAUGAUUGCUUUAACUGCUACUGCUACAUAUAAGGUCCAGACAGAUCUGAUGGAGAUGCUGCAUAUUCCUAAGUGUGUUAAGUUUGUCAGUACAGUUAAUAGGCCCAAUCUUUUCUACAAAGUACUUGAGAAGUCAUCAGUUGCAAAGGUGGUCAUUGACGAAAUUGCAGAUUUUAUACGAGGGUCAUAUCCUAAUAACGAGUCGGGGAUAGUUUACUGCUUCUCUAGGAAGGAGUGUGAGCAGGUUGCAAAGGAGUUGCGAGAACGUGGAAUUUCAGCGGAUUAUUACCAUGCAGAUAUGGAUGUGACUGCUCGUGAGAAAGUUCAUCUGUGCUGGAGCAAAAACAAAUUACAAGUUAUUGUUGGUACGGUGGCAUUUGGAAUGGGAAUAAAUAAGCCGGAUGUCAGGUUUGUCAUUCAUCACAGCCUCAGUAAAUCAAUGGAGACAUACUAUCAGGAGAGUGGUCGAGCGGGAAGAGAUGGACUUCCAUCAGAAUGCUUGUUAUAUUUUAGACCAGGCGAUGUUCCACGCCAGAGUUCAAUGGUCUUUUAUGAGAACUCUGGCUUGCAAAAUCUCUAUGAUAUUGUCCGAUACUGUCAGUCUAAAAGAAACUGCCACCGAGGUGCUUUCUUUCAGCAUUUUGGGGAACCUCUACAGGAUUGCAAUGGGAUGUGUGAUAACUGUGCGUAUGGCCAUGAAAUUAAGGAAGUAGAUGCCACCUAUCAUGCAAAAGUCGUUGUAUCAUUGUUACGUGACAUGCAAGACAAUGAGCAGAGAGCAACCAUGUUGCAGUUAGUUGAUAGGCUCAAAGUGAAGAUGAAGGAAGUAGGUGGUUCAAAUAACUCAGUUUCUGAUCUCAAGAAAGAUGAACUAGAGCAGUUGAUAAUUCAGCUGAUACUAGACCGUGUUUUGAAAGAAGAAUUUCAGCAUACAGCAUAUGCAACUAAUGCAUAUGUUGCACUAGGGCCACUGUGGAAGCUAGCAUUGCAAGGGAAAAAACCAGUUGUGCUCGAGAUCUGCAUGGGGCAGCGCAGAAAUAGCAGCAUUCAUAAAGAUGCUAGGAAUAGCCAGACAUUUGGUCUGGAAAUGAAGCUGGAUGAAUUGCGUAAGGAACUGUCUUCUACCCAUGGGGGAAUAUUUCCUCAUGCUGUUCUAUCUACUCAACAGAUCAGCAUAUUGAGCACCCAUAAACCAACAUCCAUAACACAGGUGGAGAAGCUGAUUGGAAAAGUAAAGGCUGAGAAGUAUGGCAAUAGAAUUGUUGACCUAAUUCAGCAGUACGUCGAGUCAGGGCAGCCUAAUGGUGAUACAUCCGGGGUAGCUGAAGCCAGUGAAAACAGAGCAAAUAAAAGGCCGCGGAAAAAUAGAAGUCUCAUUCUAAUUGAAAGCAGUGAAGAUGAGGAGUGAAGUAGUUGGAGGGGAUUAAUAUAGAGGGGCACAGAGGUUUCUAAAUUAUGUUCCCAUGCUAAUUUACGAGAAGGGUAACUAGUUUUUUUGAGUCUUUUCCAGGCGGUAAGGUGGCAUCAUGGAAAGAAGGCUUGAUUUUGAAGAUCAGAAAUGAAGUACGUUGACCGGUUGCACGAUGUAUAUGACGUGGUUCCAGCGUGUCUCGAAUUUGGAUAUGCUGUGGACUUAAGCUUAUGUUCCAAGGAUUCCUGAAUCUUUUCCAUUUCAAACAUAAUUUUGGCGAGCAUACAAGACUGCACACAACCAGAUGAACUGUUAGCCUUGAUAAUAUUUUCAUUAGAUCUGAUGCUUGUGAGCAGGCUGUUCUCGAAAGUAUAUUCUAAGGAUGCGAAUUAGCAACACACAGUUAAGGUCACUCGGUUAACUCAAGGGACAUGGUUUACAUGAAAAAAUUAUCAUGUGACUCUUUAUCAGUCGUCUUCUGUUUCCGGGUUUGUGCCCCCUACUCUGUUUCUGCUUGCCUACAACCCCUACCUAUCGGACAAUUUGGCCUGCCGAGUAAUAGCGAACAAAAAUCAUAUGGCACGGAUAAUAAAGAAGAAAAUAUGGGGCGGACAUUUUAUUUUGUCAUGUUUCCUCUUAUAUCAAUAUUAAAGUUGAAGUUUAGAAGUUGGGGAUCUGUUCUGCUAAUGAAGUCGGGUUCAUGAUUAAAAAAAUUAAAAAAGAAAAUUGCAUGUUGUAUUCUCUUU